RNAcentral lists this long non-coding RNA (271 nucleotides) under Gossypium raimondii (Peruvian cotton). RNAcentral's name for it is "long non-coding RNA (GRAI_LNC010577)". Lineage: Eukaryota; Viridiplantae; Streptophyta; Magnoliopsida; Malvales; Malvaceae. The record is from RNAcentral.
ACAGGAAGAGAACAUCAAAAAAAAUUGGGAAUUAGCAAGAGAGAAAAAAAUAAUUAAAAAAAUAAAAUAAAAGAUAUCCAAAAAAAUCCCCUAUUUUGUCCCACUAAUCCCAGUACUCAUAACUCCCUUAGAAUUUUAGCUUUACUAAAACUCUAUUAGACAGCCGAGCAAAAGUAACAUCCACGCUCCCGCAGGGAUUGAAACACAGGACCUCCAACACACCAACCCCCUCACCACUCGAACCAGGAGGCUCAUUCUGAUAUAAGUUAAC